Molecule: ribosomal RNA, 253 nt
Filed under: uncultured bacterium
Lineage: Bacteria
Description: partial 16S ribosomal RNA
Rfam family: Bacterial small subunit ribosomal RNA
Source: RNAcentral
UACAGAGGUGGCAAGCGUUGUUCGGAAUUACUGGGCGUAAAGGGCGCGUAGGCGGCCUUCUAAGUCAGACGUGAAAUCCCCCGGCUUAACCUGGGAACUGCGUCUGAUACUGGGAGGCUUGAGUAUGGGAGAGGGAUGUAGAAUUCCAGGUGUAGCGGUGAAAUGCGUAGAUAUCUGGAGGAAUACCGGUGGCGAAGGCGGCAUCCUGGACCAUUACUGACGCUGAUGCGCGAAAGCUAGGGGAGCAAACGGG